Molecule: ribosomal RNA, 198 nt
Filed under: uncultured bacterium
Lineage: Bacteria
Description: partial 16S ribosomal RNA
Rfam family: Bacterial small subunit ribosomal RNA
Source: RNAcentral
ACGCUCGACACCUACGGGUGGCAGCAGUGGGGAAUAUUGCACAAUGGGGGAAACCCUGAUGCAGCGACGCCGCGUGAGCGAAGAAGUAUUUCGGUAUGUAAAGCUCUAUCAGCAGGGAAGAAAAUGACGGUACCUGACUAAGAAGCACCGGCUAAAUACGUGCCAGCAGCCGCGGUAAUCUGAGCGGGCUGGCAAGGC